This 360-nucleotide long non-coding RNA is filed under the name Phoenix dactylifera (date palm). RNAcentral describes it as "long non-coding RNA (PDAC_LNC000285)". The record is from RNAcentral. Lineage: Eukaryota; Viridiplantae; Streptophyta; Magnoliopsida; Arecales; Arecaceae.
AAUUAGAAUCAAGCUAGGUCAGGGCUUGCCUGACCUUAUUAUCUGAAAUCCAUUCGGGCUUUAGAUUUACGACCCAGAUAUGAACCUCUAGCCCCGCUUGACAAGCCACGAGCCAGCUUGACCCCAUUGCCAACCCUAGCAGAGGAUCUAAGAUAUAGAUAUUAGAUAUGAAAAAAUAAAUAAUGAAAAAACAAAGAAAAAAGAGAUGUUGAAUCAUCACUAGCAGUGUCGAAUUAAUCCUUGGUGAAGGUAGAUGAAGAUUCAAGAAAGUCUUAUGUUGGUAGCUUUAGUCCAUGUCAGUAGUCAGAUGGAACCAGUUAAAGAAUUGUGCAAUGGGAGCAAGAUAUUGGAAGACUACUC